RNAcentral lists this ribosomal RNA (641 nucleotides) under crenarchaeote 768-28. RNAcentral describes it as "partial 16S ribosomal RNA". It matches the Rfam family "Archaeal small subunit ribosomal RNA", at positions 36 to 659 of the family's 1478-position model. Lineage: Archaea; Thermoproteati; Thermoproteota. The record is from RNAcentral.
GGGUGGGGCUAAGCCAUGCGAGUCGUACGCCCGGGGUCCGCCGGGCGUGGCGCACGGCUCAGUAACACGUGCCUAACCUACCCUCGGGAGGGGGACAACCCCGGGAAACUGGGGCUAAUCCCCCAUAGGGGAAGGGUGCUGGAAGGCCCCUUCCCCGAAAAGGCUCGGUUGAUCUACCGAAUCCGCCCGAGGAUGGGGGCACGGCCCAUCAUGGUAGUUGGCGGGGUAACGGCCCGCCAAGCCGAAGACGGGUGGGGGCCGUGAGAGCGGGAGCCCCGAGAUGGGCACUGAGACAAGGGCCCAGGCCAUACGGGGUGCAGCAGGCGCGAAAACUCCGCAAUGCGGGAAACCGUGACGGGGCCACCCCGAGUGUCGCCCGAAGAGGCCGACUUUUGCCCGGUGCAAAAAGCCGGGCGAAUAAGCGGGGGGCAAGUCUGGUGUCAGCCGCCGCGGUAAUACCAGCCCCGCGAGUGGUCGGGGUGCUUACUGGGCCUAAAGCGCCCGUAGCCGGCCCGGUAAGUCGCCCCUGAAAUCACUGGGCUCAACCCGUGGGCCGGGGGCGAAACUGCCGGGCUUGGGGGYGGGAGAGGCCGNNGGUACYCCNNNNNYAGGGGCGAAAUCCNAUAAUCCNNNGAGGACCA